GCGCAAUGGGGCAACCCUGACGCAGCGACGCCGCGUGGAUGAUGAAGGCUUCAGGUUGUAAAAUCCUGUCAGAUGGGAAGAAGUGCUAUCAUCGGUUAAUAUCUGUAUAGUUUGACGGUACCAUCAAAGGAAGCACCGGCUAACUCCGUGCCAGCAGCCGCGGUAAUACGGAGGGUGCAAGCGUUGUUCGGAAUUACUGGGCGUAAAGCGCGCGUAGGCGGCUAUGUAAGUCAGAUGUGAAAGCCCGCGGCUCAACCGUGGAAGUGCAUUUGAAACUGUAUAGCUUGAGUACUGGAGGGGGUAGUGGAAUUCCCGGUGUAGAGGUGAAAUUCGUAGAUAUACGGGAGGAAUACCGGUGGCGAAGGCGACUACCUGGCCAGAUACUGACGCUGAGGUGCGAAAUU
RNAcentral lists this ribosomal RNA (404 nucleotides) under uncultured delta proteobacterium. RNAcentral's name for it is "bacterial SSU rRNA". It matches the Rfam family "Bacterial small subunit ribosomal RNA", at positions 366 to 760 of the family's 1533-position model. The record is from RNAcentral. Lineage: Bacteria; Deltaproteobacteria.